UACGUAGGAGGCGAGCGUUGUCCGGAAUUACUGGGCGUAAAGAGCGCGUAGGCGGCACGGUACGACCGGUGUGAAAGCCCCCGGCUCAACUGGGGAGGGUCACCGGUAACGGCCGAGCUAUGAGUGCAGGAGAGGGAAGUGGAACUCCGGGAGUAGCGGCGAAAUGCGUAGAGACCCGGAGGAACACCAGUGGCGAAGGCGGCUUCCUGGUCUGCAACUGACGCUGUGGCGCGAAAGCUAGGGGAGCAAACGGG
Molecule: ribosomal RNA, 254 nt
Filed under: uncultured bacterium
Lineage: Bacteria
Description: partial 16S ribosomal RNA
Rfam family: Bacterial small subunit ribosomal RNA
Source: RNAcentral